Molecule: ribosomal RNA, 952 nt
Filed under: uncultured bacterium
Lineage: Bacteria
Description: bacterial SSU rRNA
Rfam family: Bacterial small subunit ribosomal RNA
Source: RNAcentral
UCCCAGCCGCCGCGGUAAUACGAAGGUCCCGAGCGUUGUUCGGAUUUACUGGGCGUAAAGAGUCUGUAGGCGGCAAGGUAAGUCAGAUGUGAAAUCCCGGGGCUCAACCCCGGAACUGCAUCCGAUACUGCCUUGCUAGAGUGUUGGAGGGGAAACUGGAAUUCUCGGUGUAGCAGUGAAAUGCGUAGAUAUCGAGAGGAACACUAGUGGCGAAGGCGAGUUUCUGGACAACUACUGACGCUGAGAGACGAAGGCCAGGGUAGCGAAAAGGAUUAGAUACCCUUGUAGUCCUGGCAGUAAACGGUGCACGCUUGGUGUGGGAGGAUUCGACCCCUUCCGUGCCGGAGCUAACGCGUUAAGCGUGCCGCCUGGGGAGUACGGUCGCAAGAUUAAAACUCAAAGAAAUUGACGGGGACCCGCACAAGCGGUGGAGCAUGUGGCUUAAUUCGAUGCAACGCGAAGAACCUUACCUGGGCUUGACAUAUAUAUCGUAGACUUGUGAAAGCUUGUCGUCACUUCGGGUGGAUAUAUACAGGUGCUGCAUGGCUGUCGUCAGCUCGUGCCGUGAGAUGUUGGGUUAAGUCCCGCAACGAGCGCAACCCCUGUGGACUGUUGCCAGCACGUAAUGGUGGGGACUCUGUCCAGACUGCCCAGAUUAACUGGGAGGAAGGUGGGGAUGACGUCAAGUCAGUAUGGCCCUUACGCCCAGGGCUGCACACGUGCUACAAUGUCCAGUACAAUGUGAACCGAUACCGCGAGGUGGAGGAAAUCCUGUAAAACUGGGCUCAGUUCGGAUUGUAGGCUGCAACUCGCCUACAUGAAGUUGGAAUCGCUAGUAAUGGCUCAUCAGCUACGGAGCCGUGAAUACGUUCCCGGGUCUUGUACACACCGCCCGUCACAUCAUGGAAGCCGCUCGCACCCAAAGUAUCUGCGCUAACUUCGGAAGCAGGGU